Molecule: long non-coding RNA, 504 nt
Filed under: Ananas comosus (pineapple)
Lineage: Eukaryota; Viridiplantae; Streptophyta; Magnoliopsida; Poales; Bromeliaceae
Description: long non-coding RNA (ACOM_LNC038049)
Source: RNAcentral
UCCUCCGCAUAGUCUCCUCAAGUUCCCAAGUGGCUUUACGCACCGUGUGGUUGCUCCAUUGGACUUUUACAUAUGGAAUUGUGCGACUCCGCAACUUUCUUUCUCUCUAUCGAGGACGCACACCGGGUACUCCUCAUAUGACAUGUCUUCGCGUAGCUCCACGGGCUCAUACUCUAACAUAUGUGUCGAGUUGCGAAUAUACUUUCGGAGGUUCGACACGUGAAAUACGUCGUGAACUCCACAAGUCUCGGUGGCAAUGCAACCUUGUACGCCACCGCGCCAAUGCACUCUAAUACCUCGAACGGUCCAACAUAUCGGGGACUUAACUUCUCGCGGACCCCAAAACGCCUUACACCUCGCAUAGGCGAUACUUUCACAAAUACGCGGUCUCCAACCGCGAACUCUAGUUCUCUUCUGCGCUUGUCAGCAUAACUCUUUUGCCUUGUUGUGCCGUCGCAAGCCGUUGACGGGCAAGGCGAACCUUUUCCUCCGCCUCCCGCAAAA